GACGAACGCUGGCGGCGUGCCUAAUACAUGCAAGUAGAACGCUGAAGGAAGGAGCUUGCUCUUUCCGGAUGAGUUGCGAACGGGUGAGUAACGCGUAGGUAACCUGCCUGGUAGCGGGGGAUAACUAUUGGAAACGAUAGCUAAUACCGCAUAACAGUAGAUGUUGCAUGAUAUCUACUUAAAAGGUGCAAUUGCACCACUACCAGAUGGACCUGCGUUGUAUUAGCUAGUUGGUGAGGUAACGGCUCACCAAGGCGACGAUACAUAGCCGACCUGAGAGGGUGAUCGGCCACACUGGGACUGAGACACGGCCCAGACUCCUACGGGAGGCAGCAGUAGGGAAUCUUCGGCAAUGGACGGAAGUCUGACCGAGCAACGCCGCGUGAGUGAAGAAGGUUUUCGGAUCGUAAAGCUCUGUUGUAAGAGAAGAACGAGUGUGAGAGUGGAAAGUUCACACUGUGACGGUAGCUUACCAGAAAGGGACGGCUAACUACGUG
This 497-nucleotide ribosomal RNA is filed under the name uncultured bacterium. Its description in RNAcentral is "partial 16S ribosomal RNA". It matches the Rfam family "Bacterial small subunit ribosomal RNA", at positions 28 to 507 of the family's 1533-position model. The record is from RNAcentral.